ACAACACCACAUAAACACGCACAUAAUCACAUUGGUAAAUUUUCUUCUAUUUUAUUAUGUUUAGUUCUUUAGAAUUAUGGUAUUUAUGUGGAGACAGUGUCCGGCCUACAGACCUUAGAGUACAAAUAUUCUUGACAGACCAGCAUGAAGCUUCCUUCUUAGUCAACAAAAGCAAUUUUUAAAAUUUUAUUUUAAUUUUAGUAACAUGCAACAUUAAGUCCCUGUUGUGCUCUCUUGUUCUUUGAUAAAGUGAAUCAACAUAAUUGGAAAAAUAGCUCUUUAGAAUCGAACCAGAAGACACAUGCUUGUGUGUGCAGACGCACACUCACAUUAUAAAACUGAAGUCAAGGAGCCA
Molecule: unclassified non-coding RNA, 355 nt
Filed under: Hevea brasiliensis (rubber tree)
Lineage: Eukaryota; Viridiplantae; Streptophyta; Magnoliopsida; Malpighiales; Euphorbiaceae
Source: RNAcentral